UGGGGAAUUUUGGACAAUGGGCGCAAGCCUGAUCCAGCAAUGCCGCGUGUGUGAAGAAGGCCUUCGGGUUGUAAAGCACUUUUGUCCGGAAAGAAAUCCGUCUGGCUAAUACCCGGACGGGAUGACGGUACCGGAAGAAUAAGCACCGGCUAACUACGUGCCAGCAGCCGCGGUAAUACGUAGGGUGCGAGCGUUAAUCGGAAUUACUGGGCGUAAAGGGUGCGCAGGCGGUCUUGCAAGUCAGAUGUGAAAGACCCGGGCUUAACCUGGGAAUUGCGUUUGAAACUACAAGGCUAGAGUGCAGCAGAGGGGAGUGGAAUUCCAUGUGUAGCAGUGAAAUGCGUAGAGAUGUGGAAGAACACCGAUGGCGAAGGCAGCUCCCUGGGUUGACACUGACGCUCAUGCACGAAAGCGUGGGGAGCAAACA
RNAcentral lists this ribosomal RNA (427 nucleotides) under uncultured bacterium. RNAcentral describes it as "bacterial SSU rRNA". It matches the Rfam family "Bacterial small subunit ribosomal RNA", at positions 355 to 774 of the family's 1533-position model. The record is from RNAcentral.